UUGCCCUAGUAACGGCGAGUGAAGCGGCAACAGCUCAAAUUUGAAAUCUGGCCUCGGCCCGAGUUGUAAUUUGUAGAGGAAGCUUUUGGCACGGCACCUGCUGAGUCCCCUGGAACGGGGCGCCAUAGAGGGUGAGAGCCCCGUAUAGCAGGACGCCUAGCCUCUGUAAAGCUCCUUCGACGAGUCGAGUAGUUUGGGAAUGCUGCUCAAAAUGGGAGGUAAAUUUCUUCUAAAGCUAAAUACCGGCCAGAGACCGAUAGCGCACAAGUAGAGUGAUCGAAAGAUGAAAAGCACUUUGAAAAGAGGGUUAAAUAGCACGUGAAAUUGUUGAAAGGGAAGCGCUUGUGACCAGACUCGCGCCGGGCUGAUCAUCCGAGCUUCUGCUCGGUGCACUCUGCCCGGCUCGGGCCAGCAUCGGUUCUCGCGGGGGGAUAAAGGCCCUGGGAACGUAGCUCCUCCGGGAGUGUUAUAGCCCGGGGUGCAAUGCCCUCGCGGGGACCGAGGACCGCGCUUCGGCAAGGAUGCUGGCGUAAUGGUCAUCAGCGACCCGUCUUGAAACACGGACCAAGGAGUCAAGGUUUUGCGCGAGUGUUUGGGUGUUAAACCCGCACGCGUAAUGAAAGUGAACGUAGGUGAGAGCUUCGGCGCAUCAUCGACCGAUCCUGAUGUAUUCGGAUGGAUUUGAGUAGGAGCGUUAAGCCUUGGACCCGAAAGAUGGUGAACUAUGCUUGGAUAGGGUGAAGCCAGAGGAAACUCUGGUGGAGGCUCGCAGCGGUUCUGACGUGCAAAUCGAUCGUCAAAUCUGAGCAUGGGGGCGAAAGACUAAUCGAACCAUCUAGUAGCUGGUUACCGCCGAAGUUUCCCUCAGGAUAGCAGUGUUGUUCUUCAGUUUUAUGAGGUAAAGCGAAUGAUUAGGGACUCGGGGGCGCUUUAUAGCCUUCAUCCAUUCUCAAACUUUAAAUAUGUAAGAAGCCCUUGUUACUUAAUUGAACGUGGGCAUU
RNAcentral lists this ribosomal RNA (1001 nucleotides) under Zopfiella leucotricha. Its description in RNAcentral is "partial large subunit ribosomal RNA". It matches the Rfam family "Eukaryotic large subunit ribosomal RNA", at positions 75 to 1109 of the family's 3401-position model. Lineage: Eukaryota; Fungi; Ascomycota; Sordariomycetes; Sordariales; Chaetomiaceae. The record is from RNAcentral.